UACGUAGGGGGCAAGCGUUAAUCGGAAUUACUGGGCGUAAAGCGUACGCAGGCGGCUUUGCAAGACAGGUGUGAAGUCCCCGGGCCUAACCUGGGAACUGCAUUUGUGACUGCAUGGCUAGAGUUUGUCAGAGGGGGGUGGAAUUCCACGUGUAGCAGUGAAAUGCGUAGAUAUGUGGAGGAACACCGAUGGCGAAGGCAGCCCCCUGGGAUGUGACUGACGCUCAUGUACGAAAGCGUGGGGAGCAAACAGG
This 253-nucleotide ribosomal RNA is filed under the name uncultured bacterium. RNAcentral's name for it is "partial 16S ribosomal RNA". It matches the Rfam family "Bacterial small subunit ribosomal RNA", at positions 524 to 776 of the family's 1533-position model. The record is from RNAcentral.